Long non-coding RNA from Lotus japonicus, 2629 nucleotides. RefSeq lists it as uncharacterized. The record is from RefSeq and is a predicted model, not a curated record. The transcript is spliced from 10 exons. NCBI's taxonomy places the organism in Eukaryota, Viridiplantae, Streptophyta, Magnoliopsida, Fabales, Fabaceae.
AGGAAGAACUUAUUUACUACUGUUCACUAGGAGAGUUUCAUACCAUGUGUGUUGGUCCACUAUAAGGCAAUGUGUGGGUUUUUUUGUUUUUGCUUUAUCUGAUUUUUUUUGGUCAUUUUUUCUACUUUUCUGAUCAUGAACCGUUGUUUUUUUCUCCCAUGUGAUGAAGGUCUAUUUUAAGCUUAUUAUGUGGUUACUUUAUGUUCCUUUAGUUGGUUGUAAAGAACUUUAUUUGCCUUUUUACCGCUUUUCUGAUUACUUUUCAUGUUUUUUUCAUCUUCUCUGGUAUCUAAUGUUACUUUUGAAGGAAAACUGAACUUUUGAGCAUACUUUUUGAUAGUUUUAACCCAUUAUAAUUCUUCUUCUCCGUCUAUUUAAUCCCUCCAACCACCCACAUUUCAAGCUUUUUGUUCAUCAUAGAAGAUUCUUGAAGCUUUCUCUGCUCUCUCAGCCACGAUGAUUUUUCCAGCUUCAACAAUGGUGUUUUCGGUUGGCAAUCGCCUCAUUCUUGCUCCACAACUUCAAUCUUUCACAUCUGGUUCGUGAUUUAUGUUCUCUGAUUUGGUAUCUGGUUCUGGUUUUCAACGCUGCCUCCAGAUUCGCGUUCUAAUCGCGAUUCAGAUUUGGGCAUUGGGAUUUUCGUUUCUUUUUUCUUCUUCACAACUUCCUGAUUGUGCCUGAUGAAAGAUCAAGCGAAUGCUUACUACCUUCAUCCUUCGGAUAAUCUUGGUUUGCUCGCACAUUGAGGAGGCUGCAUCCGGUGAUGUACAAUGCCAGAUGAUAGACAUGACGCAUCCAAGAGUUGUUCCAAUGCACAAGGUGAAUUUUGAUGCAAAGAUGGAGUAUGAUAAGAUCCAGAAUUACAAAAUUCUGCAGGACGUGUUCAACAAGCUGAAAAUUGACAAGAUCACAUAUUUUUUAUUAAUGCUUCCUUUUACCCUUCACUCAACACCAAUGUAUACUCUCAAGCAUGCACUGGCACACUACAAUUUUGGGAAUAAUCUCUUUAGGCAGGUUGUAUAAGGCUACAUUAGAAAUUAAGUAAAGGAGCUCCUCCCUUACACCAUCACGGAAGCCCUUUCCUACAAAAACUGCCCCGCCUUCAUCCACUGCACAUUGCAGCUAGACAAGGCAAUCAAGGUGUUGAACUUAUCGAACAAUACCAGUGGAGGAGAGGGAGAUUGUCUGGUGCUAGGGCAGUGGAGUCAAAACAACUAUGGGUCAUUGUGACAAGUAAGACACAUAAGGUGAAGUAGAAAAAGCUAAAACUAAGAUAUGGUCUUCAAAAUCAGAACUGAGAUCACAGUUUUCCUUCUUAAAGUCUGCAUAUGAAUUUCUCUUUUCUCCAACUAAUGUACUUCUUCUAUCAAUUUUAUAACUCACUCAAUGAUGAUGUGAUCCAUUUUUGUUGUUAUAAUGUUAUGUAUCUGUCUGGUGUCUCUGCUUGCCAUUUUCUAUUUUAGAAAGUCACAAUAUCUUACUUUUAUUUAGAUUACUUUGUAGGCUUAAUAAAACUUGAUGCGAAAAUGACAGUUGGCUGCAGCAGUAAGAGAGUUUUAUACCACGUGUGUUGGUCCACCAUAAGGCACCGUGCGGUUUUCUUUUUUGGUUACUUUAUGUUACUUUAGUGGGUUGUAAUGAACUUUAUUUGCCUUUCCACCGCUUUUCUACUUUUUCUGAAAUGAAACUUACCCUUCAUUGUUCUCCUUAGUUUGAUAUGUGUUAUUAAUUUUUGUGUUUAUGUAGUUUGUGGCUGAUGGCUUUUCUCUUCGCUCGGCUGAACGAGGUUCUGGCCCGAAAGCUUGCUGAGGAGUGAGGACAGAUACUCGGGUGUGGAGGUUAGGGUCACUCCAGCGAAAACUGAGAUCAUCAUCAGAGCCACUCGAACCCAGGCCGUUCUAGACUUCUAGGUGAGAAGGGAAGGAGAAUUAGGGAGCUUACCUUAGUGGUAUCGAAGAGGUUCAAGUUUCCUGAAAACAGUGUAGAACUCUAUGCUGAAAAGGUCAACAACAGGGGCCUUUGUGCUAUUGCCCAAGCGGAGUCCCUCCGCUACAAGCUCCUUGGUGGCCUAGCUCUUUUUACUGUUUUUGUUCUAGGCUCUGAAGAAUAGAAUAUGAACACUUGCUUUGAGCAUACAAUACGAAACUGUAUUGCCCUUCUAUGCUAAAGUUUUCACCAAGUGACCCAACCAAAUUAUUGGUGGCUUCUGCUGACUCACAUGUCUUUAUACGUUCCAGAAUGGAUGUCAUCUACAAAUUCGAAGGCCUAAAAAUUGCAGGUCAGAUGCAAGCUUCCUUCACCUCUGAUGGGAAACAAUGUCUCAGUUAGCGAGGGUUCAAUUCAAAUGUUGUAUUUGGAACUUCCCUUUCGUUUGUUGCUGCUGGUUCUAUUGCUUGCUGCUGGUUUUUUUGCUCUUCUGCAGCCUUAGUUCCUUUGCCGCACUUUCUGUUUUUCUUUCUACUGGUUCGCGUUUUCGCGUCCUGUUUCUUUAUAAUUGGGUUUGUAGCACCCAUAAUGCUACAAUUCAUUUAUUCAUUGGCCUUUCAGAAAAAAUAUUGGCCAUGACAGGAAUACUUCCAAAACAAAGAUAUUUUGGUUUUGAGUCAAUGCCAGGAACAAAGUUGUUGCA